This 466-nucleotide ribosomal RNA is filed under the name uncultured bacterium. Its description in RNAcentral is "partial 16S ribosomal RNA". It matches the Rfam family "Bacterial small subunit ribosomal RNA", at positions 28 to 507 of the family's 1533-position model. The record is from RNAcentral.
GAUGAACGCUGGCGGCGUGCUUAACACAUGCAAGUCGAACGGAAACGCCCAAGCUUGCUGGGGUACUCGAGUGGCGAACGGGGGAGGAACACGUGGGUGAUCUGCCCUGCACUUCGGGAGAAGCCUGGGAAACUGGGUCUAAUAUCGGAUAGGACCACACUUUCGGUGGUGUGGUGGAAAGCUUUUCGGUGUGGGAUGAGCUGGCGGCCUAUCAGCUUGUUGGUGGGGGAAUGGCCUACCAAGGCGUCGGCGGGUAGCCGGCCUGAGAGGGUGUACGGCCACAUUGGGACUGAGAUGAGGCCGAGGCUCCUACGAGUGGCAGAAGUGGGGAAGCUUGAACCAUGGGUGCCGGCCUGAUGCAGAGGCGCCGCGUGGUGGAUGACGGCCUUGGUGUUGUAGACUACUUUCGGUUGGGACGACGCGUUAUCUGACGGUACCUGGAGAAGAAGCACCGGCUAACUACGUG